AUUGAACGCUGGCGGCAGGCCUAACACAUGCAAGUCGAGCGAGCGGCGGACGGGUGCGUAAUGUAUGGGGACUGCCCGAUAGAGGGGGAUAACUACUGGAAACGGUAGCUAAUACCGCAUACUCUCGGAUUCCCCAUUUGGGAUUGGCUAGUAGGUGGGGUAAUGGCUAACCUAGGCGACGAACCCUAGCUGGUCUGAGAGGAUGAUCAGCCACAGUGGGACUGAGACACGGCCCAGACUCCUACGGAGGCAGCGGUAGGGAAUCUUGCACAAUGGGCGAAAGCCUGAUGCAGCAAUGCCGCGUGUAGGAAGAAGGCCAUAGGGUCGUAAAGUACUUUCAGUCGGGAGGCGGUACCGACAGAAGAAGCCCCGGCUAACUCCGUGCCAGCAGCCGCGGUAAUUC
This 403-nucleotide ribosomal RNA is filed under the name uncultured bacterium. RNAcentral's name for it is "partial 16S ribosomal RNA". It matches the Rfam family "Bacterial small subunit ribosomal RNA", at positions 30 to 526 of the family's 1533-position model. The record is from RNAcentral.